This 78-nucleotide ribosomal RNA is filed under the name Terrisporobacter othiniensis. RNAcentral's name for it is "partial 23S ribosomal RNA". It matches the Rfam family "Bacterial large subunit ribosomal RNA", at positions 2847 to 2925 of the family's 2925-position model. Lineage: Bacteria; Bacillati; Bacillota; Clostridia; Peptostreptococcales; Peptostreptococcaceae. The record is from RNAcentral. RNAcentral also lists the same sequence under 1 other name.
ACAUGGUUGAUAGGUCAGAGGUGGAAGUGUGGUAACAUAUGUAGCUUACUGAUACUAAUAGGUCGAGGACUUGACCAA